GUCUCAGUUCAGAUUGCAGGCUGCAACCCGCCUGCAUGAAGUCGGAAUUGCUAGUAAUCGCGGAUCAGCAUGCCGCGGUGAAUACGUUCCCGGGCCUUGUACACACCGCCCGUCACACCAUGAGAGCCGGGGGGACCCGAAGUCCGUAGCUUAACUGCAAGGAGGGCGCGGCCGAAGGUAAAACUGGUGAUUGGGGUGAAGUCGUAACAAGGUAUC
Molecule: ribosomal RNA, 216 nt
Filed under: uncultured bacterium
Lineage: Bacteria
Description: partial 16S ribosomal RNA
Rfam family: Bacterial small subunit ribosomal RNA
Source: RNAcentral